Molecule: long non-coding RNA, 1129 nt
Organism: Helianthus annuus (common sunflower)
Lineage: Eukaryota; Viridiplantae; Streptophyta; Magnoliopsida; Asterales; Asteraceae
Exons: 5
Source: RefSeq, a predicted model, not a curated record
UUACCAUUCUUACGAAUCAAUCAUGAUUCGUUUCCGUAAUUACGUGACCAUAGAACCGGCCUAUAUAUACCUGGUCGUUCCUGAAGAAUACACACCACUCUUCCAACUCGAAACUACACCUCACCCUCUGUUCCUCUGCAAUUAGCCGGUACAUUCGCCGGAGAUUGGAGCCCACCGGAGACGUCGCCGGAGCAAACGACAUAUAGCGGAGAAGACGACCGGAACAACCGCACGCUGCCGGAGGCUAAACCACAACCGUCGGAGCUCGGAGAAAACGCACCCGAGAUCACCGGGACUGGCUCGCGUUGUGCUCGGGUAAUCUUGAUCGUUCUUUUGGUUUUUCCCAAUCUCUACUCGUACGUUCUUACAAGAAUCGCAACGCAAUCAAUGUAAAACACCAUGUAGAUGAAGAAAUUGUACAUAUCAGAUUAGGGAGUUCAAGGUUUCCAAUAAUUGUAGUCAUCACCACUGUUAAGUCGAGAGGUACUAGGAAAGAAGCAAGCAACCUAGCAUCUCAAAUAAUUGUAGCAAGCUAACAUACAAGUAAAGGAAAGUCACACCUGAAAUUUGAAAAUAAGCAACAGAGAGGAGAGAAUUAAUUGAAACAAGUAAUUAUUCAUCAAGGUCUAAGCAGUCACAACAAAGGAUUCGAUCAUCAUUAGGCAACAAGAAAAAGAACCAAACAAAAAUGCGGUUGGUGAAGUGAAAGGAGUGGCGGAUAAGCACAAAAGAACAGUUGUGAUGGCUCGCCAAGCUAAAGCCUUUAUCACUCUUUCGGGGAAAGUUGGACAAGUGCCUAGGUAGUUGUGAGAGGGAAAUGGCUACCAGUUUUAGUGAGGAGAUCGAGGUUAGCAAAUCGUUAGAAGGCUUGUCAAACCAACACCGGUCUGGGAGUGGUCAUCUUAUGCUAACAUGUUAUCAUAUUACCUUCUUUUUGUAAAUGCAAUUUGUACCUUUUCUCUUACAACGCUUGACUCAGAUGUUUAUAUUUAGGGUUUACUCUUUUGGUGCUCUAGCGAGUGCCGAUGUUGUAACGAAUGAAACAAAACCGAACUGUCUUUUUGGCUUUUAUGAAAUGUGAAUGUGAACCGGCCGCAACGCGGCGGGUGUUACAUCUAGUUAUUUUGAA